GACGAACGCUGGCGGCGUGCUUAACACAUGCAAGUCGAACGGAAAGGCCCUGCGUUUGUGGGGUGCUCGAGUGGCGAACGGGUGAGUAACACGUGAGUAACCUGCCCUUGACUUUGGGAUAACUUCAGGAAACUGGGGCUAAUACCGGAUAGGAGCUACUGCUGCAUGGUGGGGGUUGGAAAGUUUCGGCGGUUGGGGAUGGACUCGCGGCUUAUGAGCCUGUUGGUGAGGUAGUGGCUUACCAAGGCUUUGACGGGUAGCCGGCCUGAGAGGGUGACCGGCCACAUUGGGACUGCGAUACGGCCCAGACUCCUACGUGAGGCAGCAGUGGGAAAUAUGGCGCAAUAGGCGGAAGCCUGAUGCAGCAACGCCGCGUGCGGGAUGACGGCCUUCGGGUUGUAAACCGCUUUCGCCUGUGACGAAGCGUGAGUGACGGUAAUUGGUAAAGAAGCACCGGCUAACUACGUG
This 468-nucleotide ribosomal RNA is filed under the name uncultured bacterium. Its description in RNAcentral is "partial 16S ribosomal RNA". It matches the Rfam family "Bacterial small subunit ribosomal RNA", at positions 28 to 507 of the family's 1533-position model. The record is from RNAcentral.